This 362-nucleotide long non-coding RNA is filed under the name Cricetulus griseus (Chinese hamster). RNAcentral describes it as "lncRNA (ENSCGRG00015010778.2)". The record is from RNAcentral. Lineage: Eukaryota; Metazoa; Chordata; Mammalia; Rodentia; Cricetidae.
CGUGCUGUGUCACUAGGUUCCCCAUCCUCAGCUUCUGAGAGCUGCAGACAUGGGGUAGCCCUGUGACACUCCCCCACACAUGUCCUCUGUCACCCACGUGUGGGCCCUAGUUUCCUUCCCAGACAGCAACUACAGCCAGACAUGCUGAGGCCUGCAGAAUUUCUCUUCCCACAUGAAUGACUGGGCCACUCUAUGCACAGCACAGCCCUGUGAGUGUUUGUCUCACUGCACCGGAAACACCACCAUGGAUUCCUUUUCUCAUUCCCUGGGCUGCUGACCUCAAAAAUAUGCAUCUCAACUCUAGAAGAUGUUGGCAAUCUGUGUUGUCCUUCCCACUCAACAGAGCUGAGCUGGCAAGCCUG